Molecule: long non-coding RNA, 840 nt
Filed under: Sorghum bicolor (sorghum)
Lineage: Eukaryota; Viridiplantae; Streptophyta; Magnoliopsida; Poales; Poaceae
Description: long non-coding RNA (SBIC_LNC012512)
Source: RNAcentral
CUGGAUAGAUGGGGGUGCUCUCCCCCAAGCUGGAUUUUGACGUAAUUUCUUCUGAUGUAGCUAGCAGGUGGUGGAGGUGUAUUUGAAUGUCGGCAGCACCCUGACAGCGAUUAGGAUGUCCUCCGUCUGCUAGUCUUCUUUGAUCCUUGAAUUCUGUGGAGCUCAAAUAGACAACAAAGCUUUGUGGAACUGGUUAAGUGUUAGCAUAAAAUCUCUUAGUCGUUAUCAUGUUGAGCUUCCUCUAAUAAAUAUUACUCUCUUUGGUAGGAUCAUAAAUUUAUUUUUAUAUUUUCAUUUUUAUAGGAUAGGAAUAUAUUUAUUUUAUUUUUACGCCACCACAGUGAAUGUACUUAUGGGUUUUAUGCUACGAGCAUACUCACAUGGGGCUUACUGUUUUUAACAUCUUUAUUUUCUUUUCAAGAUAGCAUGAUUAACUAAUAAGCUAUUUAAGGAAAGUAAAUAAUUUAAGAGAAAAAGGAAUGCAGAAAGGAUAAAUAUGGAUAACUACCGAUUUUACCUUUCGGCGAGAGUUCAAUGUUUUAAGUCUUCUGAACAAGACUUCUCACCGUGUUCAUUCUUCAGGUGCGUCAUUUGAUUCAGGUGUGGCCCUUGACGUCUGCACCUCUUGAUACAGUGUCACCCAUGUUCUUCGUUUGCCCAGCAGUUCGAAGUGCGGCGUUGGCAGUAUCUUGCUCAGUGUGUUUGUGCUCGUAGAUCCAGGUCCUUCACUUGGUAGAGUCUGAGAGUUGAAAAAUCCUCCAUGUUUCUCAAAAUGUGUCCUGCUCAUAGAGACAAGGCAGAGAUCAAGUGCAUGGGUCCUGUUGGUGGAAAACACCAACA